CAGCAAUGCCGCGUGAGUGAAGAAGGCCUUCGGGUUGUAAAGCUCUUUUGUCAGGGAAGAAACGGUAGAGGCUAAUAUCCUUUGCUAAUGACGGUACCUGAAGAAUAAGCACCGGCUAACUACGUGCCAGCAGCCGCGGUAAUACGUAGGUGGCAAGCGUUGUCCGGAAUUAUUGGGCGUAAAGAGCUCGUAGGCGGUUUGUUGCGUCGGCUGUGAAAACCUGAGGCUCAACCUCAGGCCUGCAGUCGAUACGAGCAGACUAGAGUGUUGCAGGGGAGACUGGAAUUCCUGGUGUAGCGGUGAAAUGCGCAGAUAUCAGGAGGAACACCGGUGGCGAAGGCGGGUCUCUGGGCAGUAACUGACGCUGAGGAGCGAAAGCGUGGGGAGCGAACAGGAUUAGAUACCCUGGUAGUCCACGCCGUAAACGUUGGGCGCUAGGUGUGGGGCUCAUUCCACGAGUUCCGUGCCGCAGCUAACGCAUUAAGCGCCCCGCCUGGGGAGUACGGCCGCAAGGCUAAAACUCAAAG
Molecule: ribosomal RNA, 527 nt
Filed under: Chloropicon mariensis
Lineage: Eukaryota; Viridiplantae; Chlorophyta; Chloropicophyceae; Chloropicales; Chloropicaceae
Description: partial Bacterial small subunit ribosomal RNA
Rfam family: Bacterial small subunit ribosomal RNA
Source: RNAcentral